This 659-nucleotide ribosomal RNA is filed under the name Sesioctonus kompsos. Its description in RNAcentral is "eukaryotic LSU rRNA". It matches the Rfam family "Eukaryotic large subunit ribosomal RNA", at positions 386 to 787 of the family's 3401-position model. Lineage: Eukaryota; Metazoa; Arthropoda; Insecta; Hymenoptera; Braconidae. The record is from RNAcentral.
CCUGAGAAACCUAAAAGUUCGAAAGGAGAGAUUCAACGCCAGCAUGUAUUGUAUUCACGUGAGUAGUGAUGCGAGUUUUUAGUAAAGGGGUUAAACCUUUUGCUAAUACUCGCACAUUUUCAUGUUAUUUUAUUGCAAUACUAUUGCCGGCGUGCACUUCUCUUCUAGUAGAACGUCCCGACCCGUUGAGGCUUGGUCUACGGCACAGAUGGUAGCCUUUAAUACUUUGUAUUAAAGACCUCUGAUGUUCUCCUGGCUAAAGUACUCGACGGUAUAAAGUUUAAUGAUAUGGUAUUAAGCCGCAAAUUUAAUUUGUGCGUCUGGCCUGCCGCAAGUUUAUUGACACAUUCUGUAUUAUCAUAGACCUAGUGCUAUGUAUAUGGUUGUGUUGGCUGUUUGCAUGACAGUGCUCUUAGACUGGCUUUUAUACCUGUCGGGGACGCUUAGGCUUUGGGUACUCUCAGGACCCGUCUUGAAACACGGACCAAGGAGUCUAACAUGUACGCGAGUCAUUGGGUAUAUAUUUUUCUUCGGAAAUUUAUAUAAAACAAACCUAAAGGCGAAAUGAAAGUAAAGGUUAAACUUCUCGUUUAACUUAGGGAUGAUGAGUUAUUAAUUUAUCUCCGCAAUCCCAGGGCGUCUUAAUCUCAUUGAGAUGU